CCACUGAUGCAACACACCUGAAAGGAUACCGAAAGGUUGACUUGUCUGAUUUGUCACCUUCACUCUUACAUCAAGGCAAAUGCUGUGAUAUUGAUUUACUCCACUGGAUGAAGCAAAAUGAAAACAGCAGUGCUGAUACUGAGUGAAACAGCUGAGGCACCAGAUUUAAAGGGCAUUUCAUUAAACCUUGAGAGGUUCAGGAGGUUGAUAAACCCGGCAGGAUGGUGAAGAAGUCUCAGGAGACAAAUUCAGCUGGAGAAGAUCCAUCUGGCUCUUGCUAAUUAGCAGUUUUUCAAGGUUGAUGGACCCACUGUAUCCUGAAGUGAAGGGCAGUGCUCCCCAGAUGGCAGAGGCUCUGUCAGAACGCUGUUGUGUGUCGCCUCCAUCACCGAUUUCCAAUACUCCAUAUCCAAAUCAAGUGAAGCGGAAACCACAAGAUUUUCUGACUUGGCGCCAAAAGAAAGAGACAACCUGGUGAGACUGGCUUGGCGAUAGAGCUGCAGUCAAUAAUACGUGGCUAUGCAAAAGCCUGGAAAGGAGAGCUGGCAACGCAGCCAGCUUAGCCAACAGAUGGAGGGAGCCAGGUUGUUUGGGUGGCCAGUAUAUCAGCACUUUCCCCCUGGUAUAGCUUAGCCAUUGUGUAUUCAAGGGAGUACACUCCCACUUCUGGUAGAUUCAGACUGCCAUCUUACCCUGUGCACAGUGUUCCUGGAUCCCAAAGAUAUUUUAUUCCCUUCAUCAUGCUCUCUGCACCUCUCACCUUUUUCAUUGGCCUUGUCGUCUUCUAAUAUUCUGUCUCAUCCCUUAUUGCAGUUUACCUUGCUUUUAUUAUAAAAAUCUUAUUACUACCUUAUCAUAAGCUCUUGCAAAACUCCUCAAUUAUCCUCCCAUUUAUUCAGCUCUUUGUUACUGCCACUGGGCAUGUAAGGUAUUUGUGUGUGCAUAUCUGGAGGUGUAAACACCCUUGGCGUGAGAGAUAUUGGACCAUAUCUCAACAUUAAAAAGCUCUCAACGCAAUAAACAAAGCACCCAAAUACACACAGAUCAUUAUCAACAGAUUUAUUUGCCGUUAUUGUAU
Siniperca chuatsi (mandarin fish) is the source of this 1078-nucleotide long non-coding RNA. RefSeq lists it as uncharacterized. The record is from RefSeq and is a predicted model, not a curated record. Lineage: Eukaryota; Metazoa; Chordata; Actinopteri; Centrarchiformes; Sinipercidae. The transcript is spliced from 4 exons.